ACGAACGCUGGCGGUGUGCUUCACACAUGCAAGUCGAACGGGGGUAGCAAUACUCCAGUGGCGGACGGGUGAGUAACGCGUGGGAAUCUGCCCUAAAGUGGGGGAUAGCAGACCGAAAGGUCUAUUAAUACCGCAUAUGCCGUAAGGUAAAAGGAGUAAUCCGCUUUUGGAUGAGCCUGCGUCCGAUUAGCUAGUUGGUGGGGUAAAAGCCUACCAAGGCUACGAUCGGUAGCUGGUCUGAGAGGAUGAUCAGCCACAAUGGGACUGAGACACGGCCCAUACUCCUACGGGAGGCAGCAGUGGGGAAUUUUACGCAAUGGGCGAAAGCCUGACGUAGCGACACCGCGUGAGCGAAGAAGCCCUUUGGGGUGUAAAGCUCUGUCGGCUGGAACGAAAAAAAUGACGGUACCAGCAAAGGAAGCAUCGGCUAACUACGU
Molecule: ribosomal RNA, 437 nt
Filed under: uncultured bacterium
Lineage: Bacteria
Description: bacterial SSU rRNA
Rfam family: Bacterial small subunit ribosomal RNA
Source: RNAcentral